This 69-nucleotide transfer RNA is filed under the name Rattus norvegicus (Norway rat). It matches the Rfam family "tRNA". Rfam says of the family: Transfer RNA (tRNA) molecules are approximately 80 nucleotides in length. Their secondary structure includes four short double-helical elements and three loops (D, anti-codon, and T loops). Further hydrogen bonds mediate the characteristic L-shaped molecular structure. tRNAs have two regions of fundamental functional importance: the anti-codon, which is responsible for specific mRNA codon recognition, and the 3' end, to which the tRNAs corresponding amino acid is attached (by aminoacyl-tRNA synthetases). tRNAs cope with the degeneracy of the genetic code in two manners: having more than one tRNA (with a specific anti-codon) for a particular amino acid; and 'wobble' base-pairing, i.e. permitting non-standard base-pairing at the 3rd anti-codon position. The record is from Rfam by way of RNAcentral. Lineage: Eukaryota; Metazoa; Chordata; Mammalia; Rodentia; Muridae.
GGGGAUUUAGCUCAGUGGUAGAGUGCCUGCCUAGGAAGCGCAAGGCCCUGGGUUCGGUCCCCAGCUCCG